This 283-nucleotide ribosomal RNA is filed under the name Bigelowiella longifila. RNAcentral describes it as "partial Bacterial large subunit ribosomal RNA". It matches the Rfam family "Bacterial large subunit ribosomal RNA", at positions 2621 to 2916 of the family's 2925-position model. The record is from RNAcentral. Lineage: Eukaryota; Cercozoa; Chlorarachniophyceae.
GUGAGACAGUUCGGUCCCUAUCUGCCGUGGGUGUAGGAUACUUGAGAGGAGUUGCCCCUAGUACGAGAGGACCGGGGUGAACGAUCCACUGGUGGACCUGUUGUUGCGCCAGCAGCAGUGCAGGGUAGCUAUGAUCGGACAGGAUAACCGCUGAAGGCAUCUAAGCGGGAAGCCCCCCUCAAAACAAGGUAUCCCUGAGGACCGUGGUAGACCACCACGUCGAUAGGCCGGAGAUGUAAGUGCAGUAAUGCAUUCAGUUGACCGGUACUAAUGGUCCGAUAGG